UCCAGGUGUGGUGGUGCACACCUGUAAUCCCAGCAGCUUGGGAGGCUGAGGCAGGAGGAUUGUAAGUUCAAAGCCAGCCUCAGCAACAGCGAGGUGCUAAGCAGCUCUGAGACCCUGUUUCUA
Molecule: small RNA, 123 nt
Filed under: Marmota monax (woodchuck)
Lineage: Eukaryota; Metazoa; Chordata; Mammalia; Rodentia; Sciuridae
Source: RNAcentral